CAGCCGCCGCGGUAAUACGAAGGGGGCUAGCGUUGCUCGGAAUCACUGGGCGUAAAGGGUGCGUAGGCGGGUCUUUAAGUCAGAGGUGAAAGCCUGGAGCUCAACUCCAGAACUGCCUUUGAUACUGGAGAUCUCGAGUUCGGGAGAGGUGAGUGGAACUGCGAGUGUAGAGGUGAAAUUCGUAGAUAUUCGCAAGAACACCAGUGGCGAAGGCGGCUCACUGGCCCGAUACUGACGCUGAGGCACGAAAGCGUGGGGAGCAAACAGGAUUAGAGACCCGGGUAGUCCCUGUCUCUUAUAC
This 301-nucleotide ribosomal RNA is filed under the name uncultured bacterium. Its description in RNAcentral is "partial 16S ribosomal RNA". It matches the Rfam family "Bacterial small subunit ribosomal RNA", at positions 509 to 807 of the family's 1533-position model. The record is from RNAcentral.